This 1014-nucleotide ribosomal RNA is filed under the name Triticum aestivum (bread wheat). RNAcentral's name for it is "partial small subunit ribosomal RNA". Lineage: Eukaryota; Viridiplantae; Streptophyta; Magnoliopsida; Poales; Poaceae. The record is from RNAcentral.
AUGGGUGAUGUUGAAACAAUAUUUAAUCAGAAACCAAGAAAUAUAGGUUAUUCAGAUGAAGAAGCCUAUGGUGUUGACGUUUUUGGGCAUGGAGUUAAUUUUACUUCAGGAUAUGACUAUGAAUAUGUGCAUGAGCAAAAAGAUUUUGACCAGAUGGUGUGGUAUGUGUUGAACAAUUGUGAUCAAGCUAAGAAAUAUAUCGAUAUGUUCAGAGAUGAGUUAAAGAGAAAACGGUUGCCGGGCAGUGAUAAAGGGCUUCAACAAAAAUUUCAGACAUGGUUCAGGAACUAUAUGAUGAGGCUGCGAGAUGAGGUUGGCGAAGAGGUAGAUGAAGAUCUAUUUUCCUUGGCACGUGGUCCUGAUCGGAGAGUCUGGAAAUUCUCAUCGUGCAUAGUGAAUGGGAUUAGAUUUAGCACUGUUGCUCGUGAUAGCAACAAGAGGACGCAGAACAGUGGAGUCAUGACCGAAGGUGAACAUGACCGUAAGGUCAUAGAUUUUUAUGGAACCUUGAAAGAGAUCAUUCAGUUAGAUUAUAACUUGAAAGAUAGGUCAGUUGUUUUGUUUAAAUGUGACUGGUUUAAACUUGAUGGAAAGAAGACUGAACUUAAAAAUGAUGGUUUUUUCAAAACCAUACAUGUUGGAUGUUUGUGGUACAAGGACGAUUCUUUGAUUCUGGCUACUCAGGCUAGUAAGGUCUUUUAUUUGCCGGACACAAAGUAUGGGAAAAAUUGCCAAGUUGUGCAAACAUUCGACCAUAGGCAUCUAUUCAAUAUUAGCGAAACUGAGGGUGUACCUUUUAGUGGUCCUGCAUAUCAAGAGGAGGAGUGUUGUGAAGAGGAGGAUAGGAGAACAUCAGUUUCUGACCAUACAUCUGAGAAGCCUUUGCAUAGAGAUGAUGAGCAAGGCAUUACUUUUGAAGCUAAUGUCGUUGCUCGUUUGAUGAAAGAAAAAUCCACAAAAGUGUAUGAAGGUGGCGAUGAAGAUGAAGAAGAUGACACAGGUUUGGAGUAUUGA